AUGGAUUGAAUAGGACGGCAUACUUUUGUUUUAGGAUCCAGAGUGUAUUUGUGAAUCCAGUGUGAAUUAUGAGUAAGCAAAUUAUGAGUGAUUAACAUUUUUUCUAGCACUGAACACGUUGAGUACAAGAUGUAAAAUGAUUUAACAGGCAUUCUAGGCUUUGAUUUGCCAUAGUUCAAGAUUCUGUUGUAGGAUAAUUGGUG
Pelobates cultripes (western spadefoot toad) is the source of this 203-nucleotide non-coding RNA. NCBI's taxonomy places the organism in Eukaryota, Metazoa, Chordata, Amphibia, Anura, Pelobatidae. The record is from the annotation of a GenBank genome assembly.